Molecule: long non-coding RNA, 2174 nt
Organism: Anopheles funestus (African malaria mosquito)
Lineage: Eukaryota; Metazoa; Arthropoda; Insecta; Diptera; Culicidae
Exons: 3
Source: RefSeq, a predicted model, not a curated record
GGCUACAUUUUCUUCUUGGACGGCCAUGCUCUCAGGUGUCCGUGCCGGAAGUUAUUCGAGGAACCAAGUUCCUUACCCUGUUUGAGAAAAUGUAAAAUUUUCCUCAUUUUUGCACCAAGUUUUGCCUAUAACUCGGUCGGUAUCCAACGGAUCGCCAAUCUUUAACCUGUGGUCGAUAGAUGGCAAAAAUUACUACAUUUUCUUCUUGGACGGCCAUGCUCUCAGGUGUCCGUGCCGGAAGUUAUUCGAGGAACCAAGUUCCUUACCCUGUUUGAGAAAAUGUAAAAUUUUCCUCAUUUUUGCACCAAGUUUUGCCUAUAACUCGGUCGGUAUCCAACGGAUCGCCAAUCUUUAACCUGUGGUCGAUAGAUGGCAAAAAUGGCUACAUUUUCUUCUUGGACGCCCAUGCCCUGAGAUGUCUGUGCCAGAAGUUAUUCGAGGAACCAAGUUCCUUACCCUGUUUGAGAAAAUGUAAAAUUUUCCUCAAUUUUUCUGCACUUCAGCAAAAUUUUUAAAUGUGAUAUAUUUUAUUGCGAAUUUGUUGCAAUGUGUUUUUUUUCACUCAAAUAAUGCUUUAAAUUAAAAAAAUAAUAAAAAAUCAGAAAAAAAUUUCAAAAAAAUUUUCCACCCGAAAAUUUCAUAAGGCUUACCCCUUACGUUUUUUUUGGGAAAUUUUGCAAAAAAAAUGAAAUUGAUUUAUUUUAAUGCCAAUUGGUUGCAAUGUGUUUCUUUUCACUCAAGUAAUGCUUUAAAUAAAAAAAAGUGUGAAAAAUAAUAAAAAAAUCAUAAUAUUCAAAAAAAUGAAAAUUUACUAAGGCUCAUUUUUGCACCAAAUUUUGGCUAUAACUCGGUCGGUAUCUAACGGAUCGCCAAUCUUUAACCUGUGGUCGAUAGAUGGCACCAAUGGCUACAUUUUCUUCUUGGACGGCCAUGCUCUCAGGUGUCCGUGCCGGAAGUUAUUCGAGGAACCAAGUUCCUUACCCUGUUUGAGAAAAUGUAAAAUUUUCGUCAUUUUUGCACCAAGUUUUGCCUAUAACUCGGUCGGUAUCCAACGGAUCGCCAAUCUUUAACCUGUGGUCGAUAGAUGGCAAAAAUGGCUACAUUUUCUUCUUGGACGGCCAUGCCCUCAGAUGUCUGUGCCAGAAGUUAUUCGAGGAACCAAGUUCCUUACCCUGUUUGAGAAAAUGUAAAAUUUUCCUCAUUUUUGCACCAAGUUUUGCCUAUGACUCGGUCGGUAUCCAACGGAUCGCCAAUCUUUAACCUGUGGUCGAUAGAUGGCACCAAUGGCUACAUUUUCUUCUUGGACGGCCAUGCCCUCAGAUGUCUGUGCCAGAAGUUAUUCGAGGAACCAAGUUCCUUACCCUGUUUGAGAAAAUGUAAAAUUUUCCUCAUUUUUGCCGCAAGUUCUGUCUAUAACUCGGUCGGUAUCCAACGGAUCGCCAAUCUUUAACCUUUGGUCGAUAGAUGGCACCAAUGGCUACAUUUUCUUCUUGGACGGCCAUGCUCUCAGGUGUCCGUGCCGGAACUUAUUCGAGGAACCAAGUUCCUUACCCUGUUUGAGAAAAUGUAAAAUUUUCCUCAUUUUUGCACCAAGUUUUGCCUAUAACUCGGUCGGUAUCCAACGGAUCGCCAAUCUUUAACCUGUGGUCGAUAGAUGGCAAAAAUUACUACAUUUUCUUCUUGGACGGCCAUGCUCUCAGGUGUCCGUGCCGGAAGUUAUUCGAGGAACCAAGUUCCUUACCCUGUUUGAGAAAAUGUAAAAUUUUCCUCUUUUUUGCACCAAGUUUUGCCUAUAACUCGGUCGGUAUCCAACGGAUCGCCAAUCUUUAACCUGUGGUGGAUAGAUGGCACCAAUGGCUACAUUUUCUUCUUGGACGGCCAUGCUCUCAGGUGUCCGUGCCGGAAGUUAUUCGAGGAACCAAGUUCCUUACCCUGUUUGAGAAAAUGUAAAAUUUUCCUCAUUUUUGCACCAAGUUUUGCCUAUAACUCGGUCGGUAUCUAACGGAUCGCCAAUCUUUAACCUGUGGUCGAUAGAUGGCACCAAUGGCUACAUUUUCUUCUUGGACGGCCAUGCUCUCAGGUGUCCGUGCCGGAAGUUAUUCGAGGAACCAAGUUCCUUACCCUGUUUGAGAAAAUGUAAAAUUUUCCUCAUUUUUCUGCACUUCAGCAAAAUU